Long non-coding RNA from Erythranthe guttata (spotted monkey flower), 1472 nucleotides. RefSeq lists it as uncharacterized. Lineage: Eukaryota; Viridiplantae; Streptophyta; Magnoliopsida; Lamiales; Phrymaceae. The record is from RefSeq and is a predicted model, not a curated record.
AGUGGGCUUUGGGCUAUGGGCCUUCAAUAAGUUUCUUCAACAGAUGUAAUAAAUUGAUAAAAUAUAGUUAAAAUCAGAUUUUGUUGGAUUAGUUAAUUAAUUAAUUAAUCUUAGUUUAAUUUAAUUUUUUUUAAUUCGAUGAAACAAAGCGUAAUGUGUAGUGCCUCACAAAACCCAUAUACUUAUUCGGAAUUUCGGAUACGCUCACAGAAGAACACAUUUGAUUCCCAUUCAGUUCAGCAAUUCAAUGAAGAUCCUGUUCAGCGACGAAGAUUUUAAUUUCCAGAACAAGGCCGAUGAUUUCAUCAUUUUAUUACAACGAUUAGCUGUUGGUGAACAGGUCACAUCAGUUUGCCAAUGUCGAUAUCGACUCCGGGAAUUUACUGUAGUUCACAACAUCAUCAAGUCAGUCAAAAACAGGUCAGUAAACACUGGAUGUGGGAUUUAAUUAAAAGUUUCCCUCCAUUUGGUUUUAAAAAGAAAAAGGAGAGAGAGAAAACAAUGUGAAUGAUGCAGUUACUUUGUUUGAAAGGAAAAUGCAAAGGAAAAUUUUAAUUCUCAUUGAUUUCAAUCUCUUUCCUUUUCUUUCAAUUAUGGAUUCAAUAUGACAUUUAAUUCUCUUACCAGCAAGCAAAUUAGACAGUAUUGUAUGUACUGUACAUAGCACAAGUCAAAAGAAUAUUCUUCCCAAACGGUAAGUAGGAUAAUAGCUGGUGCAAAUCUUGGUACAACUCCAUAAUUACCUGACAUGGACAAAGAAUUACAGAGGCAAUAUGCCAACACUUAGUUGCCAUAUUUACCUUACGCGACAGCAAAAACAUGCCUUUCCUGCAUAUUUUUUUCCCAUACGCCCACUGUUUUCCGAUAUGCUGCUCGAAAUCUUGAUUUUGUAACUGACCCGGGACUUGUAUAAAUACAGGAGAACCAAAUAGUACACAACACACACACAAAUACUCAUAACAAGUGUAUAUUAGAUAAUAUAUACUUGUUCUUGUUUUUCUUUUCUUUUGUGUUUUUGCUUUGUGUGUUUGAGAGAAUACUAGGUUGUCUGGAAUGGCAUUGUCAAAUGAAGAAUCGUGCUACGAUAUAAACACACACAUCUCGUUGCCAGAAGAUCUGAUUAACAAGUUGAAGAAUGCAAAGACUUGGGAGGAGUGGCCAUCUCAGUGGACCUUCGACGAAGAAAGGAUGAGUCUGGCAUGGCUAUGGCCUCAUUCCAUGAACGAUGACAAGAUCCACAAUGCCAAUAAUGGUGCUGAAUUGGUCUCUCCAAACAACGAACAGAAGUAGAUUUUACGACGUAAUUGGAAAAAAAUAAAAAAAGGGUUCAUUUUUUAUUCUUUGCAAUUUGUAAUCAUUAAGUAUUUUUACUAGCAUUUUUUUUUUCUUUUUCUUUUUUUUUUUAAUGUUUAGAAUGGUUGUUACUUUGGUGUUUGUUUGUUUCUUGAUAUGAUAUAUCAUCUUUUGAGUCC